Long non-coding RNA from Poeciliopsis prolifica (blackstripe livebearer), 1434 nucleotides. RefSeq lists it as uncharacterized. Lineage: Eukaryota; Metazoa; Chordata; Actinopteri; Cyprinodontiformes; Poeciliidae. The record is from RefSeq and is a predicted model, not a curated record. The transcript has 2 exons.
GAUGAUAGUGUUGAUUUAUAGUGAUCAUAUAGCAUGUAAAGGACUGAAAUCACAUAAUAAGAGAAUAGGGACAGUCUGUGGGUGCAGAGGCAAGCCUGGACAUGUCUCGAGGAUGGAAAUUCAGAAACUAAGCCAGGGGCUUAAGAUAAACAAGUAAAGCAGAAGUGGACAGGGCGAUGACCGAAUAUGGGAAGGCAUGGGACCUUCCAUGAGGUAAUCAAAUGCUUGAGAAGUCGCGUACACCGUUUCCCCAUACACAACAGCUAGGGGAAAGAGUAUAAAUAAACAGAGAAGCAGAGAACAGUUGUUCUUCGUCUCCAGUGGAUCGAGCUGGCAGCAGCAGGCCAAUGGACCAACAAGAAGCCGCGCCCUGGAAUCGGAGGAAAGUCAAGCCGUCACACCACUGAAAGAGAGACAGGACCCGAUGUCCAACAGCUCUGGCUCCUGAUUUGAUUGUGGCUUCACACUCAAAAGAUCUCAAGAAUCGCUGCAACGGACUUGGCAAUUGGACAAAGGUCACAAAAGUGAUGAAGAUUGGGAUGUUUGGAAGACAACAACCAACUUUGCUUUGUUCCUAUUUGAAGGAGGAUUUAAGACAAGAUUCUGUCCAAGGAUAUUCUGUUGCUGAGAUCCUCCAUCAUCUGGAAUGAAGCCGGAGUACCCAGAGAGAACCCACACACGCACAGGGAGAACAUGCAAACUCUCUGCAGAAAGACCCCUGGCCAGGAAUCGAACCCAGGACCAUCUUGCUCCAAGGCAACAGUGCUACCAACUGCACCACUGUGCAGUCCUCUGCAUUACUAUUUUUUAAAUUUUCUCAAUUAAUUUAAUCUUAUUUCCUCUAUGCAUCUUGGGGAGUAACCUCCGUUUCUAUGCGCGUUAUCAGCACCAGUGACAGCACGCCUUGACAGAAACGCAAACGAUGGAGGGAGGAGAGAGAUGCAUUUUGUUUCUGUAAAAACAGAAACUAUUUUGAGGUUAUGUCUGCAAAAGAUGACAAUAUGGAGGUUCAAUGUAUCCUCUGAACUGGCAAGAAAGUUCUGUCUCUCUUGAAAAAUAGCACGUCAUGAAGAAACUAGAAUCACACCACAGGACAAUCAAACUGAACGAGCAAGCUGCACCAGGUGAUUCAAAGAAGAGAGCUGUAACAGGAGAAGGGCCGACCCAAACCUCCAGAGGGCCCUAAGAAAAAUUUGGUUUUGAGGCCCUCUGUUUUUGCUAAUAAUGUGGAUGGCUGCAAUCAACAGUCAGACAAUUAGAUCUUUCACACACCUGCGAUAAACUUAUUGUGUCUCUGACAGUGCUGAUUAUAAUGUGUAUUAUCGAUCAUGUAGUGGUAGUAAACACAGCAACCACCCAAAAUUCCAUGCAUUUGACUUAAGAUGGAAUAUAUAUCUAUGAUAUACUUGGAUUAAAUAAAUUUCUCAAUCCCAA